Molecule: ribosomal RNA, 254 nt
Filed under: uncultured bacterium
Lineage: Bacteria
Description: partial 16S ribosomal RNA
Rfam family: Bacterial small subunit ribosomal RNA
Source: RNAcentral
UACGUAGGGUCCGAGCGUUUGUCCGGAAUUAUUGGGCGUAAGGCGCGUGUAGGCGGCUUUGCAAGUCGGGUGUGAAAGCCCUCAGCUCAACUGAGGAAGUGCGCCCGAAACUGCAGAGCUUGAGUGCCGGAGAGGGUGGCGGAAUUCCCCAAGUAGAGGUGAAAUUCGUAGAUAUGGGGAGGAACACCGGUGGCGAAGGCGGCCACCUGGACGGUAACUGACGCUGAGACGCGAAAGCGUGGGGAGCAAACAGG